UACGACCACAUCACGUUCAAACACCUGUACCCGUAGGAUCACCGACGUUAAGCAACAUUGAACUUGGUCAGUAUCUAGAUGGGCGACAGUUUGAGAAUACAAGGUGCUGCAAG
Molecule: non-coding RNA, 113 nt
Organism: Acanthosepion pharaonis
Lineage: Eukaryota; Metazoa; Mollusca; Cephalopoda; Sepiida; Sepiidae
Source: the annotation of a GenBank genome assembly